AGCUUUUAGUUUAUUUGAAUGGUUCAUUUACAAUGAUUAGGUUAUAGGCUUUU
This 53-nucleotide transfer RNA is filed under the name Parafilaroides normani. RNAcentral describes it as "tRNA-Val". Lineage: Eukaryota; Metazoa; Nematoda; Chromadorea; Rhabditida; Filaroididae. The record is from RNAcentral.